RNAcentral lists this ribosomal RNA (1341 nucleotides) under Cinygma sp. BYU IGCEP123. RNAcentral's name for it is "partial 28S ribosomal RNA". It matches the Rfam family "Eukaryotic large subunit ribosomal RNA", at positions 1089 to 1904 of the family's 3401-position model. The record is from RNAcentral. Lineage: Eukaryota; Metazoa; Arthropoda; Insecta; Ephemeroptera; Heptageniidae.
ACGUGAAGCAGAAGGUAAUUUUACGGAUCGGAGUGCCCAGUGGGCCACUUUUGGUAAGCAGAACUGGCGCUUGUGGGAUGAACCAAACGCCGGGUUAAGGCGCCCGAAUCGACGCUCAUGUGAAACCAUGAAAGGUGUUGGUUGCUUAAGACAGCAGGACGGUGGCCAUGGAAGUCGGAAUCCGCUAAGGAGUGUGUAACAACUCACCUGCCGAAGCAACUAGCCCUGAAAAUGGAUGGCGCUGAAGCGUCGUGCCUAUACCCGGCCGCCGGCGGCAGAAGGCGUCAGUCUUCGGACUGUCGCUGCGAAGCCCCGGUGAGUAGGAGGGUCGCGACGGUGAGCGCAGAAGGGUCUGGGCGUGAGCCUGCCUGGAGCCGCCGUCGGUGCAGAUCUUGGUGGUAGUAGCAAAUACUCCAGCGAGGCCCUGGAGGACCGAUGUGGAGAAGGGUUCCGUGUGAACAGCCGUUGCACACGGGUCAGUCGAUCCUAAGCCCUAGGAGAAAUCCGAUGUUGAUGGUCGAGGGAUGUUCUUUAAGUCACUUUGGUGAGAAAGGACCCCGUCUCGAUGUCACACCUCUCGGUGCACUGCGAAAUCGCCUGUUGAAACCACGCUGGUUCCUUCUUUGUUUUCUUUCUCGGAAAGUCUCUCGCAAAGCGCAAAACCUCUUGCUCUCGCACUCUUCCCGUGCGGCAUUCGUGCCGUACCAGAGUCUUGAGGGGACGUGAGCGCUGCGCGUGCUAGACCGGAAGAGUUGGGGACAUGGAGGACGCCGGCGCGGCGAAUCGGACGAAAGUAGCGGGCGUCGGGUCGGUGCAAGACCUAAAAAGUUUUCUAUACUCUCAAAAAANCUUGAACGCCGCGACUUUGAUUAGACGCGCAAACCCCUUGAAUAGCAGAGUUCAUAAACUUUUUUAAAGUUGCAUCGCAAAACGGGUGACUGUGUUGGACGGAGUCUGGAGUAUCGCUGAAUCUCAUGUGACGGAACUAUUAACCCCCGUCCGUCGGGCGAAAGGGAAUCCGGUUCCUAUUCCGGAACCCGGUCGCGGAACCGCACUCACGAUCCUCGUAUUGACACGGUAACGUGAAUGAGCCCAGAGAUGCCGCCUGGAGCCCCGGGAAGAGUUUUCUUUUCUGCCUGAGCGUUCGGGUUCCAUGGAAUCCUCUCGUAGGGAGAUAUGGAAUGGAACGCGAAGAGCACCGCAGUUGCUGCGGUGUCCGGGGAGUCCCGCCGGCCCUUGAAAAUCUGGGUGAGGAUCACGUGGAGGCGUCGCACCGGCUCGUACCCAUAUCCGCAGCAGGUCUCCAAGGUCAAGAGCCUCUGGUCGAUAGACUAAUGUAGG